This 493-nucleotide ribosomal RNA is filed under the name uncultured bacterium. RNAcentral describes it as "bacterial SSU rRNA". It matches the Rfam family "Bacterial small subunit ribosomal RNA", at positions 28 to 507 of the family's 1533-position model. The record is from RNAcentral.
GAUGAACGCUAGCUACAGGCUUAACACAUGCAAGUUCGAGGGGAAACGACAUCGAAAGCUUGCUUUUGGUGGGCGUCGACCGGCGCACGGGUGAGUAACGCGUAUCCAACCUGCCCAUCACUUGGGGAAUAACCUUGCGAAAGUAAGACUAAUACCCAAUGAUAUCCCACGAAGGCAUCCGAAUGGGAUUAAAGAUUUAUCGGUGAUGGAUGGGGAUGCGUCUGAUUAGCUUGUUGGCGGGGUAACGGCCCACCAAGGCUACGAUCAGUAGGGGUUCUGAGAGGAAGGUCCCCCACAUUGGAACUGAGACACGGUCCAAACUCCUACGGGAGGCAGCAGUGAGGAAUAUUGGUCAAUGGGCGAGAGCCUGAACCAGCCAAGUAGCGUGCAGGACGACGGCCCUAUGGGUUGUAAACUGCUUUUAUAAGGAAUAAAGUGAGUCUCGUGAGACUUUUUGCAUGUACCUUAUGAAUAAGGACCGGCUAAUUCCGUG